RNAcentral lists this ribosomal RNA (330 nucleotides) under Salmonella enterica subsp. enterica serovar Derby. RNAcentral describes it as "partial 23S ribosomal RNA". It matches the Rfam family "Bacterial large subunit ribosomal RNA", at positions 1273 to 1604 of the family's 2925-position model. The record is from RNAcentral. Lineage: Bacteria; Pseudomonadati; Pseudomonadota; Gammaproteobacteria; Enterobacterales; Enterobacteriaceae. RNAcentral also lists the same sequence under 1 other name.
CUGGAGGUAUCAGAAGUGCGAAUGCUGACAUAAGUAACGAUAAAGCGGGUGAAAAGCCCGCUCGCCGGAAGACCAAGGGUUCCUGUCCAACGUUAAUCGGGGCAGGGUGAGUCGACCCCUAAGGCGAGGCCGAAAGGCGUAGUCGAUGGGAAACGGGUUAAUAUUCCCGUACUUGGUGUUACUGCGAAGGGGGGACGGAGAAGGCUAUGUUGGCCGGGCGACGGUUGUCCCGGUUUAAGCGUGUAGGUGUGUGUUCCAGGUAAAUCCGGUUCACUUUAACACUGAGGCGUGAUGACGAGGCACUACGGUGCUGAAGCAACAAAUGCCCUG